AGUGAACGCUGGCGGUAGGCCUAACACAUGCAAGUCGAACGGCAGCACAGUAAGAGCUUGCUCUUACGGGUGGCGAGUGGCGGACGGGUGAGGAAUACAUCGGAAUCUACUUUUUCGUGGGGGAUAACGUAGGGAAACUUACGCUAAUACCGCAUACGACCUACGGGUGAAAGCAGGGGAUCUUCGGACCUUGCGCGAUUGAAUGAGCCGAUGUCGGAUUAGCUAGUUGGCGGGGUAAAGGCCCACCAAGGCGACGAUCCGUAGCUGGUCUGAGAGGAUGAUCAGACACACUGGAAGUGAGACACGGUCCAGACUCCUACGGGAGGCAGCAGUGGGGAAUAUUGGACGAUGGGCGCGAGCCUGAUCCAGCCAUACCGCGUGGGUGAAGAAGGCCUUCGGGUUGUAAAGCCCUUUUGUUGGGAAAGAAAAACAGCAGGUUAAUACCCCGCUGUUCUGACGGUACCCAAAGAAUAAGCACCGGCUAACUUCGUG
This 492-nucleotide ribosomal RNA is filed under the name uncultured bacterium. Its description in RNAcentral is "partial 16S ribosomal RNA". It matches the Rfam family "Bacterial small subunit ribosomal RNA", at positions 29 to 507 of the family's 1533-position model. The record is from RNAcentral.